RNAcentral lists this ribosomal RNA (351 nucleotides) under Triticum aestivum (bread wheat). RNAcentral's name for it is "partial small subunit ribosomal RNA". The record is from RNAcentral. Lineage: Eukaryota; Viridiplantae; Streptophyta; Magnoliopsida; Poales; Poaceae.
GAAACCGGUGAACGUCAGCUGUUGGGUAAUGACUUAAUCACAGAGGCAGAAGAAAUGUGCAAAGUCAUUCGUGAUAACCUCAAAGCAGCCCAAUCCCGCCAGAAGAGCUACUAUGAUAGUAAGCACCGUGAUUUGGCUUUCGAGAUCGGAGAUCAUGUUUACCUCCGCGUCUCUCCUAUGAAAGGUACUUGUCGCUUCGGUAUCAAAGGGAAGCUUGCCCCUAGAUACGUGGGACCUUUCAAGAUUGUCAGCAAGAGAGGCGACCUCGCCUAUCAACUCGAGCUUCCUUCAAACUUUGCAAAUGUUCAUGAUGUGUUCCAUGUCUCUCAGCUUCGAAAGUGCUUCAAGACU